RNAcentral lists this ribosomal RNA (447 nucleotides) under uncultured bacterium. RNAcentral's name for it is "bacterial SSU rRNA". It matches the Rfam family "Bacterial small subunit ribosomal RNA", at positions 28 to 457 of the family's 1533-position model. The record is from RNAcentral.
GAUGAACGCUGGCGGCGUGCUUAACACAUGCAAGUCGAGCGAAGCGCUUAAGUUUGAUUCUUCGGAUGAAGACUUUUGUGACUGAGCGGCGGACGGGUGAGUAACGCGUGGGUAACCUGCCUCAUACAGGGGGAUAACAGUUAGAAAUGACUGCUAAUACCGCAUAAGACCACAGGGUCGCAUGACCCGGUGGUAAAAACUCCGGUGGUAUGAGAUGGACCCGCGUCUGAUUAGCUAGUUGGUGGGGUAACGGCUCACCAAGGCGACGAUCAGUAGCCGACCUGAGAGGGUGACCGGCCACAUUGGGACUGAGACACGGCCCAAACUCCUACGGGAGGCAGCAGUGGGGAAUAUUGCACAAUGAGCGAAAGCCUGAUGCAGCGACGCCGCGUGAAGGAUGAAGUAUUUCGGUAUGUAAACUUCUAUCAGCAGGGAAGAAAAUGACGG